This 463-nucleotide ribosomal RNA is filed under the name uncultured bacterium. RNAcentral describes it as "partial 16S ribosomal RNA". It matches the Rfam family "Bacterial small subunit ribosomal RNA", at positions 28 to 507 of the family's 1533-position model. The record is from RNAcentral.
GAUGAACGCUGACAGAAUGCUUAACACAUGCAAGUCUUUGGCGAAGCUGUGCUUGCACAGCCUAGCCAAGGCGGACGGGUGAGUAACGCGUAAGGAACUUGCCCUGCAGUCAGGGAUAACAGACGGAAACGACUGAUAAGACCUGGUAAAGUCAGGCGGACUCAUGUCCAGCCUGAUGAAAAGAGAUGCUGCAGGAGAGCCUUGCGUCCUAUUAGCUUGUUGGUGGGGUAACGGCCCACCAAGGCGAUGAUAGGUAGCCGGCCUGAGAGGGUGGACGGCCACAAGGGGACUGAGAUACGGCCCUUACUCCUACGGGAGGCAGCAGUGGGGAAUAUUGGACAAUGGGGGCAACCCUGAUCCAGCAAUACUGUGUGCACGAUGAAGGUUUUCGGAUUGUAAAGUGCUUUCAGCAGGGAAGAAAAAAAUGACGGUACCUGCAGAAGAAGCGACGGCUAAAUACGUG